AUAUAUACUGGAAUACAAAUGUGCCGAGAUAAGGUAUUCUUGCUCAUUAACCAUCAUGGGAUCUUUUCUGAAUCUCGCAAUUUUGGUGACACACCCUGCAACAGCAUUUUUGUUGUUAUGGCUGUUUUUACUUUGGUUUAGAAGGCAACCCAGCUAAGAAAUAGAGUUUCAGAGACAUGAAGAGUGUGAAGUGAAUAACCUGCUAUGUGUAUGUACAUGUACCAGAUCUGCUUGAUGAAAGGCCUUACUAAAUUCAUCACCCAUAUGAUAAGCAUCAGGAAAUUUAUCUCAACAUAUUGAGUAAUGCUGUUGGUUGCUAUGGAUUCCAUUUUUAUGGUUUUUAUCAUGGACAUUUCAGUGUUCUUCUUAGAAAAGAGCACGCAGUUUAUUUAUGGAAUCGUAUGGUCCUGGCACGGAGAUUCUUGUUCCAAUGCUGACCUUUGCCCAUGACGGAAGAGGGACUUCCACCAACGUCCAUCCUUAUCUUCGCGACGAACGCUCAUCUAGCUUCACUGCUUCUAAACAAAAUUUGUUUUACUUCACUGGCGACUUGGCGAGUUUCUUGACCACUUCAUGAUCGCUUCCGUCCGCUGUUACACACCUGUAAUCAUUUACCACGGAAUUAUGCCCAGGUAAUGCAGAGGAGACGUCGAGAAGAUGGA
Long non-coding RNA from Daphnia pulicaria, 662 nucleotides. RefSeq lists it as uncharacterized. NCBI's taxonomy places the organism in Eukaryota, Metazoa, Arthropoda, Branchiopoda, Diplostraca, Daphniidae. The transcript is spliced from 6 exons. The record is from RefSeq and is a predicted model, not a curated record.